CCUACGGGUGGCAGCAGUGGGGAAUAUUGCACAAUGGGGGAAACCCUGAUGCAGCAACGCCGCGUGAGCGAUGAAGGCCUUCGGGUCGUAAAGCUCUGUCCUAAGGGAAGAAUACUGACGGUACCUUAGGAGGAAGCCCCGGCUAACUACGUGCCAGCAGCCGCGGUAAUACGUAGGGGGCUAGCGUCAUCCGGAAUUACUGGGCGUAAAGGGUGCGUAGGCGGACCUUCAUGUCAGAUGUGAAAGUCUACGGCUCAACCGUAGUAAGCGUAUGAAACUGUAGGUCUUGAGUGUAGGUGAGGAGAGUGGAAUUCCCAGUGUAGCGGUGAAGUUCGUAGAUAUUGCGAGGAACACCAGUUGCGAAGGCGGCUCUCUGGACUGUAACUGACGCUGAGGCACGAAAGCGUGGGGAGCGAGCUGGAUUAGAAACCCUUGUAGUC
Molecule: ribosomal RNA, 440 nt
Filed under: uncultured bacterium
Lineage: Bacteria
Description: bacterial SSU rRNA
Rfam family: Bacterial small subunit ribosomal RNA
Source: RNAcentral